UACGGGAGGCAGCAGUGGGGAAUCUUCCGCAAUGGGCGAAAGCCUGACGGAGCAAUGCCGCGUGAGUGAUGAAGGAAUUCGUUCCGUAAAGCUCUUUUGUUUAUGACGAAUGUGCAGAUUGUAAAUAAUGAUCUGUAAUGACGGUAGUAAACGAAUAAGCCACGGCUAACUACGUGCCAGCAGCCGCGGUAAU
Molecule: ribosomal RNA, 193 nt
Filed under: uncultured Phascolarctobacterium sp.
Lineage: Bacteria; Bacillati; Bacillota; Negativicutes; Acidaminococcales; Acidaminococcaceae
Description: partial 16S ribosomal RNA
Rfam family: Bacterial small subunit ribosomal RNA
Source: RNAcentral